UACGUAGGGGGCUAGCGUUAUCCGGAUUUACUGGGCGUAAAGGGUGCGUAGGCGGUCUUUCAAGUCAGGAGUUAAAGGCUACGGCUCAACCGUAGUAAGCUCCUGAUACUGUCUGACUUGAGUGCAGGAGAGGAAAGCGGAAUUCCCAGUGAAGCGGUGAAAUGCGUAGAUAUUGGGAGGAACACCAGUAGCGAAGGCGGCUUUCUGGACUAUAACUGACGCUGAGGCACGAAAGCGUGGGGAGCAAACAG
RNAcentral lists this ribosomal RNA (251 nucleotides) under uncultured Clostridiaceae bacterium. RNAcentral's name for it is "partial 16S ribosomal RNA". It matches the Rfam family "Bacterial small subunit ribosomal RNA", at positions 524 to 775 of the family's 1533-position model. Lineage: Bacteria; Bacillati; Bacillota; Clostridia; Eubacteriales; Clostridiaceae. The record is from RNAcentral.